AAGUCGUAACAAGGUUUCCGUAGGUGAACCUGCGGAAGGAUCAUUAGUAAAUUAAACCUUAUGGGUUUUUCCAAAUCCAUAAUCACCCUUGUGCACUGUUUAACUGUCUACGCCUUUCCGGUAGGGGUUGAAGUCUAGGACGUUUGUUCAAGACGUAGCGAACUACCGGGAGGUGCUUAUUAAACCCUUUUUAAUUUUCCAAGUCUGAUUCAUGCUUUGGUUUUUCCAAAGUUUAUAUUGAAAUUAAAUACAACUUUCAACAAUGGAUCUCUUGGCUCUC
RNAcentral lists this unclassified non-coding RNA (280 nucleotides) under fungal sp. Its description in RNAcentral is "partial internal transcribed spacer region". The stretch from base 1 to 46 matches the Rfam family "Eukaryotic small subunit ribosomal RNA", at positions 1786 to 1831 of the family's 1831-position model. The record is from RNAcentral. Lineage: Eukaryota; Fungi.